AUGAACGCUGGCGGCGUGGAUAAGGCAUGCAAGUCGGACGAUUUCCUUUUUUUGAAGAAGAUGCGAUUACAUCAAGUCAACUGAUAUUUUGGAGAUAGUGGCGAACGAGCUAGUAACACCUUGGUACGUACCCAAAAGUUUGGUAUAGCUCGCCGAAAGGCGGGGUAAUCCCAAAUAAUCCCUCUAUCUAUCGGAUAGAAGGGUAAAGUCGCAAGACGCUUUUUGGAGCGGCCUAGGACCGAUCAGUUAGUUGGUGAGGUAAUGGCUCACCAAGACGAUGACCGGUAGGGG
Molecule: ribosomal RNA, 291 nt
Filed under: uncultured bacterium
Lineage: Bacteria
Description: partial 16S ribosomal RNA
Rfam family: Bacterial small subunit ribosomal RNA
Source: RNAcentral